UACGUAGGGUACGAGCGUUAAUCGGAAUUACUGGGCGUAAAGCGUGCGCAGGCGGUUUUGUAAGCCAGAUGUGAAAGCCCCGGGCUUAACCUGGGAAUGGCAUUUGGGACUGCAAGGCUUGAGUGCGGCAGAGGAGACUGGAAUUCCUGGUGUAGCAGUGAAAUGCGUAGAUAUUAGGAGGAAUACCGAUGGCGAAGGCAGGUCUCUGGGCUGACACUGACGCUCAUGCACGAAAGCGUGGGGAGCAAACAGG
RNAcentral lists this ribosomal RNA (253 nucleotides) under uncultured bacterium. RNAcentral describes it as "partial 16S ribosomal RNA". It matches the Rfam family "Bacterial small subunit ribosomal RNA", at positions 524 to 776 of the family's 1533-position model. The record is from RNAcentral.